GCGAACGCUGGCGGCGUGCUUAACACAUGCAAGUCGAGCGAAGGUGUUUCAAGGGUAACCUUGAGAUACACUUAGCGGCGGACGGGUGAGUAAUACGUGGAUAACUUACCUCUAGGCCUGGGAUAACCCCGGGAAACUGGGGCUAAUACCUGAUAAGACCACAUUGUCUACGGACAAAGGGGUAAAAGGUGGCUGUGCAAACAGCUAUCGCCAAAAGAUAGGUUCACGUCCCAUCAGGCAGUGGUGAGGUAAUGGCUCACCAAACCAAAGACGGGUAGCCGGCCUUGGCGGGUGAACGGCCACACGGGGACUGAGACACGGCCCCGACUCCUACGGGAGGCAGCAGUGGGGAAUAUUGGGCAAUGGGCGCAAGCCUGACCCCAGCGACGUCGCGUUGGGGAAGAA
RNAcentral lists this ribosomal RNA (405 nucleotides) under uncultured bacterium. Its description in RNAcentral is "bacterial SSU rRNA". It matches the Rfam family "Bacterial small subunit ribosomal RNA", at positions 29 to 412 of the family's 1533-position model. The record is from RNAcentral.